This 24-nucleotide non-coding RNA is filed under the name Arabidopsis thaliana (thale cress). The record is from RNAcentral. Lineage: Eukaryota; Viridiplantae; Streptophyta; Magnoliopsida; Brassicales; Brassicaceae.
UCAUAACACGUGAGGCGAGCUGAC